UAGUCCACGCCGUAAACGAUGAGUGCUAGAUAUCGGAAAUUAAACUUUCGGUUUCGUAGCUAACGCAUUAAAUCUUCCGCCUGGGGAGUACGGUCGCAAGAUUAAAACUCAAAUGAAUUGACGGGGGCCCGCACAAGCGGUGGAGCAUGUGGUUUAAUUCGAUGCAACGCGAAGAACCUUACCUACUCUUGACAUCCAGAGAAUUUGCUAGAGAUAGCUUAGUGCCUUCGGGAACUCUGUGACAGGUGUUGCAUGGCUGUCGUCAGCUCGUGUUGUGAAAUGUUGGGUUAAGUCCCGUAACGAGCGCAACCCUUAUCCUUAUUUGCCAGCGGUUCGGCCGGGGACUAUAAGGAGACUGCCGGUGAUAAACCGGAGGAAGGUGGGGACGACGUCAAGUCAUCAUGGCCCUUACGAGUAGGGCUACACACGUGCUACAAUGGACGAUACAAAGAGCGGCAAGCCAGCAAUGGUUAGCGAAUCUCAUAAAGUCGUUCGUAGUCCGGAUUGGAGUCUGC
RNAcentral lists this ribosomal RNA (515 nucleotides) under uncultured bacterium. RNAcentral's name for it is "bacterial SSU rRNA". It matches the Rfam family "Bacterial small subunit ribosomal RNA", at positions 791 to 1308 of the family's 1533-position model. The record is from RNAcentral.